Ciona savignyi (Pacific transparent sea squirt) is the source of this 120-nucleotide non-coding RNA. The record is from Rfam. NCBI's taxonomy places the organism in Eukaryota, Metazoa, Chordata, Ascidiacea, Phlebobranchia, Cionidae.
UAAUCACCGCAUUUCAUCGUUGAGAACACCUAUCUUGUCCGAUCUGGGAAGUUAAGCAACGUCGGGCCCGGUUAGUACUUGGAUGGGUGACCGCCUGACAAUACCGGGUGUUUUGAUGAU